ACGGGAGGCAGCAGUAAGGAAUAUUGGUCAAUGGACGCAAGUCUGAACCAGCCAUGCCGCGUGAAGGAUGAAGGCCCUCUGGGUUGUAAACUUCUUUUAUAUGGGAAGAAACCUUUGUUUUCUAAGGGAGUUGACGGUACCAGAGGAAUAAGCACCGGCUAACUCCGUGCCAGCAGCCGCGGUAAUACGGAGGGUGCGAGCGUUAUCCGGAUUCACUGGGUUUAAAGGGUGCGUAGGUGGGUAUGUAAGUCAGUGGUGAAAUCUCCGAGCUUAACUCGGAAACUGCCAUUGAUACUAUUUGUCUUGAAUAUGGUGGAGGUGGGCGGAAUAUGUCAUGUAGCGGUGAAAUGCAUAGAUAUGACAUAGAACACCAAUUGCGAAGGCAGCUUACUACACAAAUAUUGACGGUGAGGCACGAAAGCGUGGGGAUCAAACAGGAUUAGAUACCCUGGUUGUCCACGCCCUAAACGAUGAUUACUCGACAUGAGCGAUACACUGUGGGUGUCUGAGCGAAAGCGUUAAGUAAUCCAC
RNAcentral lists this ribosomal RNA (531 nucleotides) under uncultured soil bacterium. RNAcentral describes it as "bacterial SSU rRNA". It matches the Rfam family "Bacterial small subunit ribosomal RNA", at positions 341 to 872 of the family's 1533-position model. The record is from RNAcentral.